GGGGUUAUUCCAAUUGAUAUUUGGGAAUAUUGUAAUUGAUUCUUUCCUAGUUUAGAGAUAGCGUGACCUGUUGUUUAGGGUCCUAGUUUGGCUAACUGCUUAAUUGUGGGAUCUAUAUUGCUAUAUCAAUCCCUAUAUAUGUACCUGCACAUAUUGUAUGUAAACACAACGGAAUACAGAAUUCCUUAUACCAGAUUUU
RNAcentral lists this long non-coding RNA (199 nucleotides) under Prunus persica (peach). RNAcentral describes it as "long non-coding RNA (PPER_LNC001186)". The record is from RNAcentral. Lineage: Eukaryota; Viridiplantae; Streptophyta; Magnoliopsida; Rosales; Rosaceae.